This 72-nucleotide transfer RNA is filed under the name Heterocephalus glaber (naked mole-rat). It matches the Rfam family "tRNA". From Rfam's summary of the family: Transfer RNA (tRNA) molecules are approximately 80 nucleotides in length. The record is from Rfam by way of RNAcentral. Lineage: Eukaryota; Metazoa; Chordata; Mammalia; Rodentia; Bathyergidae.
GGGGUUGUAGCUCAGUGGUAGAACAUGUGUCUAGCAUGCCCAAGGCUCUGGGUAUGAUCCCCAGCACCACUA